Molecule: ribosomal RNA, 253 nt
Filed under: uncultured bacterium
Lineage: Bacteria
Description: partial 16S ribosomal RNA
Rfam family: Bacterial small subunit ribosomal RNA
Source: RNAcentral
UACGGAGGGUGCAGGCGUUAUCCGGAUUCACUGGGUUUAAAGGGUGCGUAGGCGGGCAGGUAAGUCCGUGGUGAAAUCUCUGAGCUUAACUCAGAAACUGCCAUGGAUACUAUUUGUCUUGAAUAUUGUGGAGGUGAGCGGAAUAUGUCAUGUAGCGGUGAAAUGCUUAGAUACGACAUAGAACACCAAUUGCGAAGGCAGCUCACUACACAGUUAUUGACGCUGAGGCACGAAAGCGUGGGGAUCAAACAGG